AUGGCCGAGGCGGCGCAGGGCGGGGGGCUACGCGGCCGCGGCGUGCUGCUGGGCGGCGUCCAGGACGCGCCGGCGGGGCGGGAGAACGACCUCGCGACCAUCAAGCUCGCACGCUUCGCCGUCGCCGAGCACAACACCAAGGCCAACGCGCUGCUGGAGUUCGAGAGGCUGGUGAAGGUGAGGCAGCAGGUGGUGGCCGGGUGCAUGCACUACUUCACCAUCGAGGUCAAGGAAGGCGGCGCCAAGAAGCUCUACGAGGCCAAGGUGUGGGAGAAGGCCUGGGAGAACUUCAAGCAGCUCCAGGAGUUCAAGCCGGCCGCCUGA
RNAcentral lists this ribosomal RNA (324 nucleotides) under Triticum aestivum (bread wheat). RNAcentral's name for it is "partial small subunit ribosomal RNA". The record is from RNAcentral. Lineage: Eukaryota; Viridiplantae; Streptophyta; Magnoliopsida; Poales; Poaceae.